RNAcentral lists this long non-coding RNA (867 nucleotides) under Homo sapiens (human). Its description in RNAcentral is "non-protein coding lnc-CHD9-8:1". The record is from RNAcentral. Lineage: Eukaryota; Metazoa; Chordata; Mammalia; Primates; Hominidae.
AUGGCUUUAAGGCGACCAGAAGUGCCUGUUCCCGAGUAGACCUCUGGGCAGGAUGUCCCUGCCCUUUGGGACAUACACUGGGCUUUCAGCUAUGAUGAUGACUUCAAGGAUUCUACACCCAUGACUCCUCCUCCAUCGGACAUGGGCAGCAUCCUCUGGAAGUCAGUGAUUCCAGAUCACAAGUAUCAGCACCUUACCAAGGUAGAGGACCCACCCAUGACACUAUCACCGGCCAUUGACAGUACAGAGAAGGUCCUGCUAGUGAAAACUAAAGCUACCCAUUCAUCAGAAAUUAUUUGAUCACAAAACAGACACAGAAGAGCACUUAACAUUUUGAGCAAUAGGCAGGGCUACAUACCCUCCAAGAGACUUACCCUCAAGAAGACCAAGCACCUUUGAGUGACAGAAGCGCUUCAUGAACUAAAGCUAUGGAGUGGGGAGAUAACAAAAGAAAAGAAGCUCAGUGUAUCAGCCCAGUCCAUCCAAGCAGCAAUCCCCACUCAUCCCCUAAGCAGAAGCCCAGAGGCCAGUCCACUGUGGUUCUUUCACAUCUUUACCUGGCCCAGAUCCAGCACCAUGUAUUCUGAAAGUGGAGGUGAGGACAGAAACAGAUCAUAUAAAUGCAGCAUCCUUGGACCAAGAUCCCCAGAAGUAUGAUCUGGGAGGUUUUGCCAGCCAGGGCUACAGAGGAGCCCAGAAGCCCCCUCUAAUAGAACUGAUCCAUGUCCAGAUCACCUAAAUAGCUGAAGAUUAAGAAACCUUCAAGCUACCCAAGAUAAACAUCUCAGUGAUGGAAGAGAAGAAAUAACCACCAAGGACCCAUAACCUCAAACCCUCUGACUUGAGUAUACUCACAUCCACUGCUUU